UCAAGGUAGUGGUCUCUCAGGUUUUUAUAGAUUUUACUCCUCCUCUCCUCAAAGAUAGUUUCUAGUCAUGGUAACUGAGAAAUAACCAAUCGUCCUUGCCCUUGCACUUAAAAAGUGUUGCUUCCCUAAUAGCGAUGGUCGAUACGAUAGCCGUUGGACAUCCGACAGUCAGUCGGAUCAGCCAUUGCACUUUUCCAGAAUCCACCAAUAGUUACAGUGUUGGGGCGACGCUUCGGGGGAUGGUUUUUC
This 249-nucleotide long non-coding RNA is filed under the name Capsicum annuum. RNAcentral's name for it is "long non-coding RNA (CANN_LNC010254)". The record is from RNAcentral. Lineage: Eukaryota; Viridiplantae; Streptophyta; Magnoliopsida; Solanales; Solanaceae.